UACGAAGGGGACUAGCGUUGUUCGGAAUCACUGGGCGUAAAGGGCGCGUAGGCGGCUUGAUAAGUCGGGGGUGAAAUCCUGUGGCUCAACCACAGAAUUGCCUUCGAUACUGUCGAGCUUGAGACCGGAAGAGGUAAGUGGAACUGCGAGUGUAGAGGUGAAAUUCGUAGAUAUUCGCAAGAACACCCGUGGCUAAGGCGGUUCUCUAGUACGGUACUGACGCUGAGACGCGAAAGCGUGGGGAGCGAACAGG
This 253-nucleotide ribosomal RNA is filed under the name uncultured bacterium. RNAcentral's name for it is "partial 16S ribosomal RNA". It matches the Rfam family "Bacterial small subunit ribosomal RNA", at positions 524 to 776 of the family's 1533-position model. The record is from RNAcentral.